This 253-nucleotide ribosomal RNA is filed under the name uncultured bacterium. RNAcentral's name for it is "partial 16S ribosomal RNA". It matches the Rfam family "Bacterial small subunit ribosomal RNA", at positions 524 to 776 of the family's 1533-position model. The record is from RNAcentral.
UCCGGCGGGUGCGAGCGUUGUCCGGAAUCACUGUGCGUAAAGGGCGCGUAGGCGGCGCGGAUAGUCGGCGGUGAAAGCCCGGAGCUCAACUCCGGGUCGGCCGUCGAUACUUCCGGGCUUGAGCACUGUAGAGGCAGAUGGAAUUCCGGGUGUAGCGGUGGAAUGCGUAGAGAUCCGGAAGAACACCGGGGGCGAAGGCGGUCUGCUGGGCAGUUGCUGACGCUGAUGCGCGACAGCGUGGGGAGCAAACAGG